UAGCAUAAUAAAUUGUUUUUUAAUUGAAAACUGGAAUGAAAGGUUAAACAAUUUUUAAGUUUAUAUAUUUUAAUUUAUGAAUUUUUAUUAUAAGUAAAAAUACUUAUAUUAUAUAAAGGGACGAUAAGACCCUAGAAGCUUUAGUUUAUUUAAUUGCAAAAUAGUUUUAUUUAAAAUUUGUUUGAUGUGAAACUUUGAUUGGGGAAAUAAUAAUUUUAUAAAUAAUUAUUAAUAAAAUAUAUAAGUUUUUUAAUGAUCUUUAAUAUAAGAAUGAAUAGGAUUAGUUACUCUAGGGAUAACAGCGUGAUAAUUUUGGAUAGACCUUAUAUAUAAAAUUGAUUACGACCUCGAUGUUGAAUUAAAAUAUCUUUAUAAAGUAGAAAUUAUGGAAGAAG
RNAcentral lists this ribosomal RNA (395 nucleotides) under Metacrangonyx spinicaudatus. RNAcentral's name for it is "partial 16S ribosomal RNA". Lineage: Eukaryota; Metazoa; Arthropoda; Malacostraca; Amphipoda; Metacrangonyctidae. The record is from RNAcentral.